RNAcentral lists this ribosomal RNA (465 nucleotides) under uncultured bacterium. Its description in RNAcentral is "partial 16S ribosomal RNA". It matches the Rfam family "Bacterial small subunit ribosomal RNA", at positions 338 to 795 of the family's 1533-position model. The record is from RNAcentral.
CCUACGGGGGGCAGCAGUGGGGAAUUUUGGACAAUGGGCGCAAGCCUGAUCCAGCUAUUCCGCGUGUGGGAAGACGGCCUUCGGGUUGUAAACCACUUUUGUAGAGAACGAAAAGUCUGUUGAUAAUACCGAUAGAUGAUGACGGUACUCUAAGAAUAAGCACCGGCUAACUACGUGCCAGCAGCCGCGGUAAUCCGAAGGGUGCGAGCGUUAAUCGGAAUUACUGGGCGUAAGGGGUGUGCAGGCGGUUUUGCAAGAGGGAUGUGAAAGCCCCGGGCUUACACUGGGAAAGCCAUACAUGACUGCAAGACUAGAGUGCGUCAGAGGGGGGUGGAAUUCCAAGUGUAGCAGUGAAAUGCGUAGAUAUUUGGAAGAACACCGAUGGCGAAGGCAGCCCCCUGGGACGCAACUGACGCUCAUACACGAAAGCGUGGGGAGCAAACAGGAUUAGAUACCCGUGUAGUC